AUGCCAGAAACGCGAGACGUGUCCAUGGAGCCGUCGUUUGGGUCCAGCUCGGCGGGCACCGAGGAGGCGUCGACGCGGCGCGUCGCCAACCGCAUCAUCCGCGCGCUGCAGCACCACCUCCUGCUGCUGCACCGCGCCGGCGCCGACUUCUUCGUGCUGGGCGCCACGGGCAACGUGUACACGGUGACCCUGGCGACCACGCCGGCGUGCACGUGCCCCGACCCCGGCGCGCCCUGCAAGCACAUCCUCUUCGUGCUGCUCCGCGUCCUCGGCCUGUCCCUCGACGAGGCCUGCGUGUGGAGGCAAUCGCUGCGGCCGUGCCAGGUCGCGCGGCUCGUCGCCGCGCCGACUUACCCGGAGGUGCUCGCCGGCCCUCGCGCCCGGGCGAGGUUCCACCAGCUGUGGUCGGCUCACGCGGCGGCCGCGGCCGCCAAGGCCGCCGACCAGCGCCGGCAGGAGUCCGCCGCGCCGCCGUCGGGGCGCCUCGACGGCGCCGCCUGCCCGGUGUGCCUCGAGGAGAUGGCGCCUCCGGCGGCAGAGGCACAAGGCGGCGCGGCGGCGCCGCUGCUGACGUGCGGCACGUGCCGGAACUCGGUGCACGCCGAGUGCUUCGCGCGGUGGAAGCGCAGCCGCGCGAGGCGGGCGGCGACGUGCGUCGUGUGCCGCGCGAGGUGGCGGAAGCCGAGCCGGGACCGGGAGCAGGACCAGCAGCAGUACCUGAACCUGUCGGCGUACAUGAACGAGGGGAACGACGUGGCGGACAUGCAGGUCGAGGACGGAGCUCCCUGUGGCGGAUAG
RNAcentral lists this ribosomal RNA (798 nucleotides) under Triticum aestivum (bread wheat). RNAcentral's name for it is "partial small subunit ribosomal RNA". Lineage: Eukaryota; Viridiplantae; Streptophyta; Magnoliopsida; Poales; Poaceae. The record is from RNAcentral.